Molecule: ribosomal RNA, 509 nt
Filed under: uncultured bacterium
Lineage: Bacteria
Description: bacterial SSU rRNA
Rfam family: Bacterial small subunit ribosomal RNA
Source: RNAcentral
AGAGUUUGAUCAUGGCUCAGGACGAACGCUGGCGGCGUGCUUAACACAUGCAAGUCGAACGGUGACCUGCGGAGCUUGCUCCGCGGCGAUCAGUGGCGAACGGGUGAGUAACACGUGAGUAACCUGCCCCAGACUCUGGAAUAACCCCGGGAAACCGGAGCUAAUACCGGAUACGAGACAGAGAGGCAUCUCUACUGUCUGGAAAGUUUUUCGGUCUGGGAUGGACUCGCGGCCUAUCAGCUUGUUGGUGAGGUAACGGCUCACCAAGGCGACGACGGGUAGCCGGCCUGAGAGGGCGACCGGCCACACUGGGACUGAGACACGGCCCAGACUCCUACGGGAGGCAGCAGUGGGGAAUAUUGCACAAUGGGCGAAAGCCUGAUGCAGCGACGCCGCGUGAGGGAUGACGGCCUUCGGGUUGUAAACCUCUUUCAGCAGGGAAGAAGCGCAAGUGACGGUACCUGCAGAAGAAGCACCGGCUAACUACGUGCCAGCAGCCGCGGUAAUAC